CUACGGGCCGCACCAGUAGGGAAUCUUAGACAAUGGGGGAAACCCUGAUCUAGCCAUGCCGCGUGAGUGAUGAAGGCCUUAGGGUUGUAAAGCUCUUUCGCUGGGGAAGAUAAUGACGGUACCCAGUAAAGAAACCCCGGCUAACUCCGUGCCAGCAGCCGCGGUAAUACGGAGGGGGUUAGCGUUGUUCGGAAUUACUGGGCGUAAAGCGCGCGUAGGCGGGCUAUUAAGUCAGGGGUGAAAUCCCGGGGCUCAACCCCGGAACUGCCUUUGAUACUGGUAGUCUUGAGUUCGAGAGAGGUGAGUGGAAUUCCGAGUGUAGAGGUGAAAUUCGUAGAUAUUCGGAGGAACAUCAGUGGCGAAGGCGACUCACUGGCUCGAUACUGACGCUGAGGUGCGAAAGUGUGGGGAGCAAACAGGAUUAGAUACCCUUGUAGUC
This 439-nucleotide ribosomal RNA is filed under the name uncultured bacterium. RNAcentral's name for it is "partial 16S ribosomal RNA". It matches the Rfam family "Bacterial small subunit ribosomal RNA", at positions 339 to 795 of the family's 1533-position model. The record is from RNAcentral.